This 330-nucleotide unclassified non-coding RNA is filed under the name Hevea brasiliensis (rubber tree). Lineage: Eukaryota; Viridiplantae; Streptophyta; Magnoliopsida; Malpighiales; Euphorbiaceae. The record is from RNAcentral.
UUUUCUUUAAUUUAUGUUGCAACCUUUUUCAGUGUUUGCUCUCUUGCUCUCACUGAGGACGGUAAGAACCCAAUUUCAUUUUCGUCUCCUUCGGGGCUCUUUCUUAAACCCGUUUGUCUGCCUAGAAAAUGAAGGAAAAACAAACGAGAAAAGGAAAAAAAGCUUCUGAUGAGGACUGUGGAGUUUUAUUAUGUUGAAAAUUUUACCACCAUGGCAACCAAACGUAGGUUAAGGCUUAGAUCUUUUUGCUUUGCUUAUUUAAUUUUGUUCUUGCAGGUCUGACAUUGUUAGAAAUCAAGAACACACUGAAUGAUAGUAGAAACAUACUAG